Molecule: long non-coding RNA, 9903 nt
Organism: Columba livia (rock pigeon)
Lineage: Eukaryota; Metazoa; Chordata; Aves; Columbiformes; Columbidae
Exons: 4
Source: RefSeq, a predicted model, not a curated record
GAGCACAAGUAUCACAGCAGAAUUACUGAAAUGAAAUCUACAAAAAAUGCUCUGCCCUUUGGCAAAGAAUGCUAACUUGUUCAUUACCCAGUGAGUACAGCUAAAAGAAGAGUGUCCUCUGAAAGCUUCAUUGUCCUUUCCAUGCUCCACUGAUACUCAAUAGAGUCAUUGCUGCUGAUUCCAGGGAAAAAUAUUUCUAUUGAUGGGAGGGGGGAAAGUAAUUUCAACAGGCAUUUCUGGUGCAGACUCCUCUCAGUGGAUCUCUAAUAUAGGAAACAGUCUGAUGUUUUCUCUUCAUGUAGAAGAGGAAGGGUUGAACUGAGGUGUUUUGUGUCUGCUCUGCAUGUGUGCCACAGAAACCUCAGACAAUGCAGUUGACACAUGCUACAAUCAGAGUUGAAGUAAAAGAGCCAAAAAGUCCUCUCUUUCAAAACUCCUCUAAGUGUUAGUGUGACUAUGUAAGCAAUACUUCAUAUACUUUUCUUCUCAAGGGAUCAAAAAUCUGAAGGUACGAGAUCUCCAGUCCCACAGCUUAUGUUGGAGGGGUAACUUAAUCCUUAAUCAGAUUUUAAAAUACAAACAUUUCAUUAAACUAAUGUUUUGCUGAAGAAGACUUGUGGGGUAUCUUAUCAGUGUGUAGAUACCUGACAGAAGGGAAUGAAUACAAGGGAGCCAGACUCUUUUCCGUAGUGCCCACUAACAAAAAAAGACCAACGGGAACCAACAGAAAUGCAUGAGAUGUUGUGAACACAAGAAAACAUUUUUUUGCUGUGAGGGUGGUCGAAAACCAAUGUAAGUUUCUCAGAGAGGUUGUGGAACCCAACUGGAUGCAGGCUUGGACAACCUGAAGGAGCUGACUCAUCUUGAGUAGGAUGGUUGGACUUGAUGUUCUCAAGUGGUACCUUCCAAGCUCAAGCGUUCUGUGACAGGUGAGGGGUUUUUGGGGGUGUUUUUGUUUGUUUGUUUUAAAUCAUCACCUUCCCAAGCCGUGGUCCAGCUUUUUACUUAAAGAACAGAAUUAAUGGGAUUGAGAUGAAAACACCCACCAGUGACUAGGAUUUAAGUUGACAGCAUUUUGCAUGCCAUAUCAUCUGUCUCGGUCCUGCCAAACCAUGGAAAUGUCCACUGGCAAGACUAUCCCUUCAGCAGUCAUUUUCAAUAGCAUGCCAGAAAUAGACCUUAACUGUCAACUCAAGAUGUCUGGUUUAUGAUGCUUCAUAUAUUAUAACACUGUAAUUGCAAUAAAUUCUGCAAGCAUUAAGCCUUUUUAGGCUUUCUGAGAGAGGAGAAUCAUUCUUUAUUUCCAUUUUAUACAGGGACAGAAAAGAGUCAAGUAGCUUGCCUGUCACUGCGGAUGAACAUCGGUUUUGAGUGGGACUUCCCACCUCUUAACCUGAUCUAGGCUUUUGAAAUGGUAAAGGUCUCCGGAAAUCUGUAGCUGAAUGGAGCAUCUGCAGAUAAAGCAAAUUUGAGAAGAAAGGAAAAAGACAUCCCAGGAGUAAGGUCCCCAUAACCAGCUGUUGAUUGUGUUAAAAGAGAAUUGGGAGAACACCACAUUUGCCUCUGCACUGUGAUCUUGUCAACCUGUCUGAGUGAUGCAAGGGUGGGAGCUGGUAGUGCCCCUUUCCACAAAUCUGUUUUCAUCAAGUCUAUUCACAGCCUUUAAUUCUAAAGCUGAACCCUCAUGGUCCUGCCCUUUCUAUAUCAGCCUGUUGUAUGGGGAUGUGGUUAAUCCCCAAGCCCUUGACCUUUAGUGAUUUGUACUGCUGUCAAGACACAUUACACAGCUUUCCAAGCUGCCCUGCACUACAGAAGAAAAUGUCCACAGUAGGGUUCUUUUGUUUAAACUACCAUGCAACAGUUGUCAGUUUUAUCAGGCAAACAUUUUUAAAUUUUCCUUCUGGGGAAAGAAGCUCCCCCGUCCCUUCUCCAGAAGAGUUUCAGUAUGAAAAUCAGAGCUGAGAAGCUAGAGUAGGUGUAGAAGAGCUGCCUGAAAUUUGCAAACCAGUGAAGAUUAUGCUAUUCCUGCUGGGAAUGAAGCUGAGAGGAAGAUGGGAGUUUAGUAUUAAUACCUAGGAAGAGGAUGGAUUGAUUUUUGAAAGAAAAAACAUAAUUUUUGAAUCAUCCCAUAGCUUUGACAAAAAACGGGUUGCUGGGGUCUAGGAGCACCUGUAAGGCACUCAGGGACCUCAGCUCUACUCUUCUUGGGUUUUGGUGAAUAAUAAGUCUGCAGAAAGGUGUAGCAACUAGAUGGUGUUCUCCUUGUAUCCACAGAUAGAAACACAGUGGAUGUAGUAUGUACACAGUUUCCCAACCGCGAUGUUCCUUCAUUCAGAGAUGUAACCUUAGGGUAGCAGGAACAAUUUAUUUUCUCUGCCACUCCAUUUCUUGUCUUUUUGAGGAUUUCAGCAUGUGCCUCAGCUGGACUAAUCAGAGUGUUGAAAUGGACUAAAAUUAGCAACUCAUUUCACAACCAUCAGUGGUGACUUUCAGCUGUCAGCCUAAGCUGCAUUUUGAUAUGAAGCUGAUGAAAGAGAAACGACUUGGGUGUAUUAGCGAUUCCCAUUAAAAAAGAAGGUUAAAGAAAGAGUUUGCUUCCAAGAUUUACCAUGUUCUAUGUAAUAACGCCAUUCUCAUGCCAAAGAGAGCUUUAAUACUGCAUUUUCUAGCUGUUACCUUUAAGAAUCAAUUUCUCACAUCAGUUUGUCAAUAGGACUAUCUGCCUUGCAUGGUAAAGGAAAGAUUAACAUCAGAUAGUUUAAGAGCAAACUCAGGAAAGAGAUCUUUGGGUCACAGUGGGUAUUUCUCUGAAAACUGCAGUUCAGUAGCUGUCAAAAAUACACAGAUAUUUGUAGAGAAGGACCUAGAUAAAAAACACUAAUACACCAUUGCAUGAAUCCAUAGGUUUCUGGCAGCUAGAGUAGCAUCUGCUUGCAGCUGUGGUCAUGCAACUCAGCAAGGGGAAGUGGCAAACAAUUAUAACAAGGGUAACGGGGGUGAUCACACACGGGGAACAACUCUCUGCAUGGUGAAUCAAACAGCCUCCAGUUCUUUGUUAUAAAUGAGAAAUGACUGAGGUGGAGUUGAUAGAUUUGAUAUUAUCACAGAUGUUCUGGAGAAAGUGAGUGGGAAAUGAUUAUUCACUAGUCCUAGCAAUACAAGUUAGCUAAUGAUGUUAUCCAUUGGCAGAUAUAAACCGAACAAAGUUAAGCAUAUUUUCCCCACACAAUCCAUCCCCUCAGUAUAGUUCUGAUGUUAAAACUGUGAAACUCAUUGCUAUGAACUGUUGUGGAGGGCAAAAGUUCUGAAAGUGAUUAGACAACUUCAGGAAGGGUACGUCUGUUGGAGCCUAUCAGAUGUCAAACCUGGCAGCAGCCUCCAGCUCAGAGAGUUCCCAAACUGCACAUCACCGAAGCUGGGAGGUUGCUGCCACAGAGGGAUUGCUCUGUACACACCUUGCUUUGCUCUUUCCUCUCCCGACAACUGCUAGAGACUGUAAGGGCUAGAUGGUAGACAGACCUAUAGUCAGACGCUAUCUGUAGUUAUCUACUUGAAUUAUCACCAACAGCACUAAACAUGUCAAUAGACGUUACAGUCCUGAUAGCUUGGAUAGAAAUUCGUGGCAAUAACAGCAAAAAGUCUUCAGAGAAACAUGCCCAUGAUCUCCACUUUGCUCUUGUAACAAAGGUCUUGCUACGACUUCUGCACAGUGCCACAGCUGAACCACAUGUUCAUGUUCCACUGCAAUUUCUCGAUACACUGAUGUGUUUUGUAAUUGUACUGCAGGGGUUUCUAAUCAGUGAAAAGACAGUUUUUCUGGAUUCUCUAUUGCUGCUGGCCUACCCAGCAACAGAGAUUUUUAGAGUCUCCACAUUCCUAAAAUCACACCUCCCUUUAUUGCCUUUUGUAACAGUUGAGACCUCUCCCAGUCCCCUGCCUUCCCCAGUUUCACUCAUGCCAAAUAAAUCGGGCUUUCAGAAAGAAAAGACCUGCUUGACAAAGGGAAAAGUAUGACAAAGGGAAAGACAGGCAAGAAAAGGUAGAAGAGUAAGGCAAAGGGCAGAUAAAACUUUCCUGGGGAUCCCAAGAUAAAUUCUGUGUCCCUCUGCAGGGAGAGAAGGAAGCAGAAGGCCAUGGGGCUCAUGGCAGCAAGAAGGGAAACGUGAUGAAAACCAGGCUGAACCAGGCUAGUAGGAUCAAAGCUCAGGGUCCUUUUUGAGGAGCUGCAGCUGUACCUCAGACUUCCACAUCAUGACCAUGCUCCCAAACAUUUUUCCUGGUCCUCACAGAAGGGCAGGUUUGCCAAGCUCGGCAGGAGCUGAAGGCCUGAAGGGAGCAGCUGCCUCUGAGAGAUCUGGCUCCCAGCAUUGGUCAGACCCUGGGUUUGGCAGGGGCCACCCUGCCCCUCAGGGGAGGUUUUUCUUACUCCCAGGGCCUCAGUUUCUAAACCGAGCUCAGCCCCAAGAAGGCAAUGACUUAAGAAGGCCUGGCCUGUGGCUGUGAGACAGUGACCAAUCUGUGACCCAGCAGCAGCACAGAUUAGGGAAGCUGGAUCCUGCCCAGUGGUUUAGGAGCACAGAAGAUCCUACUGAGCACUCAGCUGGAUUUGCUGUAACCCUGCUCUGCUGCCGGUGAGCUGAGCAUGGUAACCUGCAGUGCAGGGGAUGCUGGCUGCCAGCAGUAUGGGAUACCUGAGCUCAUGGAUGGGUAGUACAUUGAUGGAGUGAGAAACCAACCCAGCUAAGUCACAGGCUGGUGCUGGGCUCUUGCAGGCGUUCCCAAUGGAUCUGCCAUGCUCCAGAGCAGCACCACAGUUGUAUUCAAAAUCAAACUUGGUGUACAGUCACACUUCAAAGGUAUGUGGGUGUACAUACCCCAAGAGCUUCAGGAAUACCGUGUUGCUGAGUGUGCAGAGUUACUUGGGUUUGCAAAAUGGUAUCAAUUGACAGAGCGAAUUAUUAAUGCAACAGACACUGGCAGAGGCAGAGAGGUUUGGAAAGCUCAUCAGAAUAUUUACCCACCCAGCUCUAGUCACGUUGCCUCCUUGUGCCUCACAUCCAUGUUUCCAAGCUAAUUUGUAAUCCAUUGCAAUAGCUCUCAGUCUCUCCUAUGCUUUGAGUUUGCAAAUCAGUCUGCCUGUCUAGAGCCGUAUCAAAUGUUUUCAACCAGCUCCACUCUUUCAGCCCUGUCAGCCACGCUGACUAGAUGAGUAGGUUCAGGAAUCAGGCAGCACUAGCAGACGUGACCUUCUGUGAAUCAGCUGCAGACAAGCUUCGUCUAAUGGGACUAGAGACACUCUCCAGCAAAGCUCGCCAUGGUAAUUUAAGACUUUGCUGUCUGCAGCUCCCUCUUUUUUAGGACUUGCUGUUUCAUAGUGGAAGAGAAGUAGUCACUCCUGCCUUAACUGACUUGCUCUGCAUUCCCCCACCAACUUCAGCCAGCCCGGAGAGCCGCAGUGGUCCCACUGACACAGGGACACUUCUGCUGCCUCUGCCACAGGGCAGGUGCUUUGUCUGCCACAAUGGGAUCUCCCUUCAGCUGCCUGUGUUCAUCAGGAAUAUUCAGUUGUGGUCUUUGCUGAGAACUAGGUUAGUUUUUUGUUGUUUUUCAUAAUAAUUAACUCAACUGAGACAAGAUACUUUUGAUUUGCUUUGGGAGCUGAAAUAGACAAUGUCAACUCUAGAAACAGCUGCUGGCUGCAGCUGAUUUUUAUUUUUCCCCUGAAAUAUGUAGAGUAAGGUAAAGCAGCACAUUUAGUAAAUUAAUCUCAAUUUUACUAAAUUUCUUCAGUGGGAAGGAACCCUGAAAAAGCCUUUUAAAACAUAAAAUUAUUUUGUUGAGAUGCUUUCAAAUAUUCUUUUCAUUUGAAGCAAUACUUUAUUUAGAAAUUUUCCUUGCUGUUUUGAAGGCUCAAACAAAACAUUCUGGGUCAUUUUUAUGUUCCUUUGAAUAGACAAAAAAAAUUCCCCACAUUUUGGUUUGCACAAAAUGUCUGUGUUAUUUCACUGUAGUUGACCUCAAUUCCCAACAUAGAUCCAAUUUUAUUAAUUUUUUUUAACAUGAAAGAACCAAAACAUCAGCUAUUAGCACAUCUCAGAGUGCAUCUUGCCUGUUUAUCUCACAGCAGAAAAGAUGUUUUUGCUUCAUUACAUCCUAUUUUAUUCAGAUAGAGUCUUCUUGUGCUGCCCUGACAAUUCCUCUGCCUCUUCCUGGCUGUCCUCACCUCUCCAGGACUUUCUGUUCUGUCCUUCUGCUCUAUGUAGGUCACUACUGCAUUUCCCUGGAGUCUCCCCUUGUCGUUUCUGAAAUGAGACGCUUCAUUAGCCACUCUCCAGUCUUUUGGCAUUGCUGACUUCUGCAGUCAGCUUGCAGACACCUCUGCUAGUGGCUGUCUUCCUCCUCUCGCUGUUUGCCCUGCAGAGACAGUACCAAACGCAUCCAUGAGUCAGAAACUCCAGGGAAUGCCCAUUAGUGUGUGCUGGGUUUCUCCUGCAUGUGUUUCACACUCUGAAUCUUGCGGAACCUGACUAUUUUUCUUUUGUAUUUAGAUGCUUGGCAUAGCUAAUAUUUGAGGAGGACGGAUGUAAGGUUUUAACAUUUUUUCAAGAUCCUUUAAAUUGCUGUCUUCCGGAUAGAGGAAGGAGAUUUUCAAAUAAGAAGCAGAUCUAUGAUUUCAGCUCAAAUGGCUCUUAUUUUACCCUAAGAAAAAUAAAACUAAAUGAAGAGGAAGAGAAUUAUUUAUAUGAGUCUAUGCGGCUCCCCGCCCCCUUCAACAGGAGCACCGAAUCUGAACAAGGCAUGGCGAUUGUCUUCUGCUGGGAAGAGACAUUUCAAAGGUAGGAAACAGGGAGAACAAAGCGUGCAUGUUCCAGAGCUCUGCACACAAUCACCAACAAAUAAGCCUGGCAGCGCCUUCUUUUUCUGUAGGAGUGUGCUCCAUACAGCUAAUCCCCUCGUCCUGAGUUGCCAUCUGGAGUAUGCCAGGAGCUGGUCUGUGUAACUGAGGUGUUGCAAGCCUGCGACAAGGCGGGCAGCGUACCGAGGGCCUGCCAGCAGCCAUGGGCUGUUCUUGCUCAGUCACACUUGUAGCCUAAUACACAAAAUGUACUCGGUGAAGGGCAACCGCCUCUUGUGAGAGGUCUUCUGGAAAUCAGAGCCUGCAUUGUAUCUGCAGUGUUUCCCCUCGACAGCCCGGGAGCUGUAUGGCCCUCAGUAUGCUGCCUGAAGUGCCACUGGCACCCUGCGUCAGGGAGACUCCAGAGAGUUGGAGAAAUAGCAACAGCCAGCCAGCAAAAACUGCUGAGGUCCAGUGAGAGGAUCGUUGGCUCCCACUGUGCUAGAAAUGGCUGGUCUCUGGUAUGAACGCCGAGAAAAGGCUGUGUGGUGGCCAGGGGCUGGCGAUUGCCCUGUCACCCCACCCUGAAGCCAUCCACAGUGCACAUUGCUCCUCAUCACACCCAGUCUCUGUCGACCACUCAUCCCAGCCAGCAGCAUCCUGGCAUCCCCAGUCACCCUACAUGCUGGCACAGGGCAGUUGGCAGAGCCCCAGCAGCUCAGGUGGAGACCCCCUGGGUGUCUCCCCACGUCUGCUGAGCCCCAGGGUUUGUGCCUCUCCCCUGGCCUGGCACUGGGGGACGCACACUGCCCCACACGCCUAAGCAGCCACAAGUCUCUUGGUGGAGGGACAGGGUCCCUGUGGGCUUUUUACAGCUACUGCUGGAUGAUAUGGUUUUUGUUUCGCCUGUCCUUUCCUAGCUUCAUCAGUAUCCUAAUUGUGCUCAGCUCACUUUAUGACAUGUAGGCAACUACAAGUUUCCAGAAUCCUGGCAAAGCUUUCUAUUGGAAAAGAGCAAAAAUGGCUCAAAAAGCACAGCGAAGCCCUGAUGGCUGUAACUGCAGGACUAUUUAUCUCCUGGUUUUUAGGCCUGCACUCUGUACUGGGCUGGCAGAGCAGCAACAUCUCUUGGCAGUGGCGUCGCUUUUCCACCCAGCGAUCUCAAAGAUGUCUGCUGAGAGUGGUGGACUCUGGCUAAUCACACUUCAGGGACACAGAGAAGGAGAAAUGGAGAUGUGACAUGAUCUCCUGCCUGCCCUGCCUUCCUCCUGUCUCUCCUGACAGCUACAAUAUCUUGCCACCUUGAGACUAGGGCCCUCGUGUCACACACGCAGUAGUAGAUCCAUUAAUCUUCCUGUUUUUCCCCCAGGAGCUGCAGUGUUUGUUCAGGAGGGGAUGCAUUUGCAUAGAAAGACAAGUGCUGCCCAUGGGCAGCAGCCACCCUUUGUCUGCCUCUCUCUGGAGGGCUCUCCCAGCAGGGCGGCAGCAGCAGCCCUCUGCUUGAGGUUUAUCACUGGUAAAACAGCACACAGGUCACCUGCUGCUCCAGAAGCAAAUCGCUGGGCCCCGUUGUUGAUAUUAACCUCAAUAAUGAAAGGUGCAACUUCUGUUUGUAAAAAAAAAGAGAAAAAGGGCAAAGGUUUGGGUCAUGUGUCCCACUGCCCCUCCCUCCAAUGGCUUUGAUCCAUUUUGGGCUUUGGUUCAAAAGCUCAUUAAAAGGAAAGUACAGCCAAGUAUUACUCUGAAAGAGAGGGAAAAAACGGCUCAUCCAUCACGAGAAAGACAAACAGUGUCAGAUACUGGUUGCUAAUUUGCUCUCCCCAGGGAGAUCUGCUUCUUUUUAACCAGAAGUGUUUUGCCACAGACGAAUGUCAAGUCAGACUGACUCUUUCUUACCCUGGGCUUCUCCCUUGACUGGCACAACUCCAGGGCAUGCAUCUCCCACACCUGUUGACCUCCUCUGAGGUGCUGGAUGGGCAUUGCUUGCGGAAGACAACUCACCAAUAUACAACAUAUGGUCUAAGCACUAAGGAGUCACAAUCUGAAAGUAGCCUCAGCCCAUGAAAUGACAUGGGGGGAAAAAAGAAGAGGCAAAAAUGAAGAGCUCCCCCAAGUUUAAGUCUUCUGCCAUUUGGAGAUUCUCACUGGAGCAUGCUGAGCCUGUCUCACAGCAAGGACCCUCCAUGCAUUUGAGUUGAUGAAUUUGUGCUGAAACAUGUCCCUCUAAUGGAAGUAUGACUUUGCACAAGAAAUCAUUGAUUAACUCCUUCUGUGGAAGGCAUAUACCAGUAACAGCUGCAUGUUUACUCAUUGAAACACUCCAGAGAUUUUCCAGAGCUACAGUUCGGGCACCUCAGUGCUCCCUGCGUAUCAGCACAAUCCCGGUGCGCAGUGACAGCUCAGUGUUGACAUCCAGCCACUUCACUUGGGAAUCAGAAGAAUCACAGAGCCAGACUGCGAGAAAACUCCAAGGGAAACCUAAUGCUUUAGUACACACCAAGGGUACAGUUGCCCUGUUGGUCAGCCUCAACUGGUUUUACUGGGCAUAGCAGCCUCCAUAUUUUGGGGACAUGAAGCUGCCAGUGGAGCUAGAACACCACCACCUUCCAUACAGGAAGGAGAAGUCUGUAGGCUUACAAAAUUAAUGGUGAGUUUAUACUGUUGACAAGAUGAUGACUUUGAUAACUGGGAUGUGAUAUCAUGUGUUGGGCAUGGCCAACUCAUCAACAACGGAGAUGUAGCUCAGAACAACUUGUACUCCAGCUCUGUGUCCUCCCCAGUCACUUCCAUACUCAGUCUUGCCCUUGCAUUUUAUAGUUGUGAAAGUCAUUGUAUUUCUUUUUCUGAAGCGUCUCAAAGACUCACUUUUAACCAAAUUGACAUCUGUCUUCUGCAACUGGUCAACUCUAUACUCUUCUACCAGCAAGUGCUUGCCACUAUUUCCAUGCUUUCAUUUCCACUGCUAAUUUUACCUUUGCCAUCCAUGCUGAAUAUCACAUGCCUGCUAAAGACUGAGGAAAAAAAAUUUAAUACAGUUAUGGAUUUUUUAUAAAUUGUUAUUCAUCACU